UUGGAGGGCAAGUCUGGUGCCAGCAGCCGCGGUAAUUCCAGCUCCAAUAGCGUAUAUUAAAGUUGUUGCAGUUAAAAAGCUCGUAGUUGAAUUUCGGGGUUCUACCGUUGGUCGGGCUUUGUCUGUACUGGUGUGUAGAAUUUCUACCUUCUGGGGAACCAUCAUGCUAUUAAUUUAGCGUGGUGGGAAACCAGGACCUUUACCUUGAAAAAAUUAGUGUGUUCAAAGCAGGCUUAUGUCUGAAUACAUUAGCGUGGAAUAAUAGAAUAGGACGGUGGUCCUGUUUUGUUGGUUUCUGAAUCACCGUAAUGAUUAAUAGGGAUAGUUGGGGGCAUUAGUAUUCAAUUGUCAGAGGUGAAAUUCUUGGAUUUGUUGAAGACUAACUUCUGCGAAAGCAUUUGCCAAGGAUGUUUUCAUUAAUCAAGAACGAAAGUUAGGGGAUCGAAGACGAUCAGAUACCGUCGUAGUCUUAACCAUAAACUAUGCCGACUAGGGAUCGGACGAUGUUAAUUUUUCUUGACUCGUUCGGCGCCUUACGGGAAAC
Molecule: ribosomal RNA, 544 nt
Filed under: uncultured Glomeromycotina
Lineage: Eukaryota; Fungi; Glomeromycota
Description: SSU rRNA
Rfam family: Eukaryotic small subunit ribosomal RNA
Source: RNAcentral